GCACAAGCAGCGGAGCAUGUGAUUUAAUUCGAAGCAACGCGAAGAACCUUACCUAGACUUGACAUCUCCUGAAUUACCCGUAACUGGGGAAGCUCUUCGGAGCAGGAAGACAGGUGGUGCAUGGUUGUCGUCAGCUCGUGUCGUGAGAUGUUGGGUUAAGUCCCGCAACGAGCGCAACCCUUAUCGUUAGUUGCUACCAUUAAGUUGAGCACUCUAGCGAGACUGCCCGGGUUAACCGGGAGGAAGGUGGGGAUGACGUCAAAUCAUCAUGCCCCUUAUGUCCAGGGCUACACACGUGCUACAAUGGUGAGGGCAAAGAGACGCAAGACCGCGAGGUGGAGCAAAUCUCACAAACCUCAUCCCAGUUCGGAUUGCAGGCUGAAACUCGCCUGCAUGAAGCCGGAGUUGCUAGUAAUCGCGAAUCAGCAUGUCGCGGUGAAUACGUUCCCGGGCCUU
RNAcentral lists this ribosomal RNA (456 nucleotides) under uncultured Clostridium sp. Its description in RNAcentral is "bacterial SSU rRNA". It matches the Rfam family "Bacterial small subunit ribosomal RNA", at positions 923 to 1382 of the family's 1533-position model. The record is from RNAcentral. Lineage: Bacteria; Bacillati; Bacillota; Clostridia; Eubacteriales; Clostridiaceae.